UAUGUGAUCGUCUCUCGCAUAUCAAUAAGCGGAGGAAAAGAAACUAACAAGGAUUCCCCUAGUAACGGCGAGUGAAGCGGGAAGAGCUCAAAUUUGAAAUCUUAAAGGGUUUCCCUUUACGAAUUGUAGUUUAAAGAAGUGUUUUCUGUUGAGGUUUUGGUAAAAGUUCUUUGGAAUAGGACAUCAUAGAGGGUGAGAAUCCCGUAUUUGACCUUUACUUUCAACUUUGUGAUACACUUUCAAAGAGUCGGAUUGUUUGGGAAUGCAGUCCAAAAUGGGUGGUAAAUUUCAUCUAAAGCUAAAUAUUGGCGAGAGACCGAUAGCGAACAAGUACCGUGAGGGAAAGAUGAAAGGAACUUUGAAAAGAGAGUUAAACAGUACGUGAAAUUGUCAAAAGGGAAGCGUUUGACACCAGUGUUGUUUUUCUGAAAAUCAAUUAAAGAACUGUUUAUGCUAAGCUGUUUAGACUUUAUCAGCUAUACUGUUUAGUUUUGAGCUUUUCUUUAAUGCACUUUUCAGUUAACAAGUCAACAUCAAUUUCUUUUGCUGUAAAAAAGCUUGAGGAAGGUGGCUUGAGAUUCGUCUUAAGUGUUUAUAGCCUCUUGCCUAUGCAGUCGGAGAGAUUGAGGUCUGCAGCGUAGAUCCUUCGGGGCUAAAUGCAUUUGUGCUAAGUUAUAGCAUUUUAUAGACAACUUGUUGACUAUGAUUUGUCUUGUAGCUUACUCGCUUAUGUUAUUUUACCUACGCUUAGGAUGUUGACACACGCGCGUGCUCG
This 775-nucleotide ribosomal RNA is filed under the name uncultured Neocallimastigales. RNAcentral describes it as "partial large subunit ribosomal RNA". It matches the Rfam family "Eukaryotic large subunit ribosomal RNA", at positions 24 to 643 of the family's 3401-position model. The record is from RNAcentral. Lineage: Eukaryota; Fungi; Neocallimastigomycota; Neocallimastigomycetes; Neocallimastigales.